This 76-nucleotide transfer RNA is filed under the name Arsenophonus endosymbiont of Aleurodicus floccissimus. Its description in RNAcentral is "tRNA-Gly". It matches the Rfam family "tRNA". Rfam says of the family: Transfer RNA (tRNA) molecules are approximately 80 nucleotides in length. Their secondary structure includes four short double-helical elements and three loops (D, anti-codon, and T loops). Further hydrogen bonds mediate the characteristic L-shaped molecular structure. tRNAs have two regions of fundamental functional importance: the anti-codon, which is responsible for specific mRNA codon recognition, and the 3' end, to which the tRNAs corresponding amino acid is attached (by aminoacyl-tRNA synthetases). tRNAs cope with the degeneracy of the genetic code in two manners: having more than one tRNA (with a specific anti-codon) for a particular amino acid; and 'wobble' base-pairing, i.e. permitting non-standard base-pairing at the 3rd anti-codon position. The record is from RNAcentral. Lineage: Bacteria; Pseudomonadati; Pseudomonadota; Gammaproteobacteria; Enterobacterales; Morganellaceae.
GCGAGAAUAGCUCAGUUAGUAGAGCACGACCUUGCCAAGGUCGGGAUCGCGAGUUCGAGUCUUGUUUCCCGCUCCA